AUACGUAGGUGGCAAGCGUUGUCCGGAAUUAUUGGGCGUAAAGCGCGCGCAGGUGGUUCCUUAAGUCUGAUGUGAAAGCCCCCGGCUCAACCGGGGAGGGUCAUUGGCAACUGGGGAACUUGAGUGCAGAAGAGGAUAGUGGAAUUCCAAGUGUAGCGGUGAAAUGCGUAGAGAUUUGGAGGAACACCAGUGGCGAAGGCGACUGUCUGGUCUGUAACUGACACUGAGGCGCGAAAGCGUGGGGAGCAAACAGGAUUAGAUACCCUGGUAGUCCACGCCGUAAACGAUGAGUGCUAAGUGUUGGGGGGUUUCCGCCCCUCAGUGCUGCAGCUAACGCAUUAAGCACUCCGCCUGGGGAGUACGGUCGCAAGACUGAAACUCAAAGGAAUUGACGGGG
RNAcentral lists this ribosomal RNA (397 nucleotides) under uncultured bacterium. RNAcentral describes it as "partial 16S ribosomal RNA". It matches the Rfam family "Bacterial small subunit ribosomal RNA", at positions 523 to 918 of the family's 1533-position model. The record is from RNAcentral.